Molecule: ribosomal RNA, 253 nt
Filed under: uncultured bacterium
Lineage: Bacteria
Description: partial 16S ribosomal RNA
Rfam family: Bacterial small subunit ribosomal RNA
Source: RNAcentral
UACGUAGGUGGCAAGCGUUGUCCGGAUUUACUGGGCGUAAAGCGCGCGCAGGUGGCCCGUCAAGUCCAGGGUGAAAUCUCUCGGCUCAACCGGGAGAGGUCUCUGGAUACUGGCGGGCUCGAGGGCAGCAGAGGAGAGCAGAAUUCCCGGUGUAGCGGUGAUAUGCGUAGAUAUCGGGAGGAAUACCAGUGGCGAAGGCGGCUCUCUGGGCUGUCCCUGACGCUGAGGUGCGAAAGCGUGGGGAGCAAACCGG